This 465-nucleotide ribosomal RNA is filed under the name uncultured bacterium. Its description in RNAcentral is "partial 16S ribosomal RNA". It matches the Rfam family "Bacterial small subunit ribosomal RNA", at positions 29 to 507 of the family's 1533-position model. The record is from RNAcentral.
AUGCACGCUGGCGGCGUGCUUAACACAUGCCAGUCGAACGGAAAGGCCACAGCUUGCUGUGGUACUCGAGUGGCGAACGGGUGAGUAACACGUGGGUGAUCUGCCCUGUACUUCGGGAUAAGCUUGGGAAACUGGGUCUAAUACCGGAUAGGAAUCACAUGUGGGUGUGUGGUUGGAAAGCUUUUGCGGUAUGGGAUGAGCUCGCGGCCUAUCAGCUUGUUGGUGGGGUAAUGGCCUACCAAGGCGUCGACGGGUAGCCGGCCUGAGAGGGUGUACGGCCACAUUGGGACUGAGAUACGGCCCAGACUCCUACGGGAGGCAGCAGUGGGGAAUAUUGCACAAUGGGCGCAAGCCUGAUGCAGCGACGCCGCGUGGGGGAUGACGGCCUUCGGGUUGUAAACUCCUUUCGUCAGGGACGAAGCGAAAGUGACGGUACCUGGAUAAGAAGCACCGGCUAACUACGUG